GUCUACGGCCAUACCACCCUGAAUGCACCUGAUCUGGUCUAAUCUCAGAAGCUGGGCAGGGUUGGGCCUGGUUAGUACCUGGAUGGG
Molecule: ribosomal RNA, 87 nt
Filed under: Ailuropoda melanoleuca (giant panda)
Lineage: Eukaryota; Metazoa; Chordata; Mammalia; Carnivora; Ursidae
Source: RNAcentral